GAUGAACGCUGGCGGCGUGCUUAACACAUGCAAGUCGAACGGAAAGGCCCAAGCUUGCUUGGGUACUCGAGUGGCGAACGGGUGAGUAACACGUGGGUGAUCUGCCCUGCACUUCGGGAUAAGCCUGGGAAACUGGGUCUAAUACCGGAUAGGACGAUGGUUUGGAUGCCAUUGUGGAAAGUUUUUUCGGUGUGGGAUGAGCUCGCGGCCUAUCAGCUUGUUGGUGGGGUAAUGGCCUACCAAGGCGUCGACGGGUAGCCGGCCUGAGAGGGUGUACGGCCGCAUUGGGACGGAGGUACGGCCCGACUCCUACGGGAGGCAGCAGUGGGGAAUAUUGGACAAUGGGCGCAAGCCUGAGGCAGCGACGCCGCGUGGGGGAUGACGGCCUUCGGGUUGUAAACUCCUUUCGCUAGGGACGAAGCGUUUUUGUGACGGUACCUGGAGAAGAAGCACCGGCUAACUACGUG
This 467-nucleotide ribosomal RNA is filed under the name uncultured bacterium. Its description in RNAcentral is "partial 16S ribosomal RNA". It matches the Rfam family "Bacterial small subunit ribosomal RNA", at positions 28 to 507 of the family's 1533-position model. The record is from RNAcentral.